Molecule: ribosomal RNA, 720 nt
Filed under: Bacillus sp. (in: firmicutes)
Lineage: Bacteria; Bacillati; Bacillota; Bacilli; Caryophanales; Bacillaceae
Description: bacterial SSU rRNA
Rfam family: Bacterial small subunit ribosomal RNA
Source: RNAcentral
GCUGGCGGCGUGCCUAAUACAUGCAAGUCGAGCGAAUGGAUUGAGAGCUUGCUCUCAAGAAGUUAGCGGCGGACGGGUGAGUAACACGUGGGUAACCUGCCCAUAAGACUGGGAUAACUCCGGGAAACCGGGGCUAAUACCGGAUAACAUUUUGAACUGCAUGGUUCGAAAUUGAAAGGCGGCUUCGGCUGUCACUUAUGGAUGGACCCGCGUCGCAUUAGCUAGUUGGUGAGGUAACGGCUCACCAAGGCAACGAUGCGUAGCCGACCUGAGAGGGUGAUCGGCCACACUGGGACUGAGACACGGCCCAGACUCCUACGGGAGGCAGCAGUAGGGAAUCUUCCGCAAUGGACGAAAGUCUGACGGAGCAACGCCGCGUGAGUGAUGAAGGCUUUCGGGUCGUAAAACUCUGUUGUUAGGGAAGAACAAGUGCUAGUUGAAUAAGCUGGCACCUUGACGGUACCUAACCAGAAAGCCACGGCUAACUACGUGCCAGCAGCCGCGGUAAUACGUAGGUGGCAAGCGUUAUCCGGAAUUAUUGGGCGUAAAGCGCGCGCAGGUGGUUUCUUAAGUCUGAUGUGAAAGCCCACGGCUCAACCGUGGAGGGUCAUUGGAAACUGGGAGACUUGAGUGCAGAAGAGGAAAGUGGAAUCUCCAUGUGUAGCGGUGAAAUGCGUAGAGAUAUGGAGGAAACACCAGUGGCGAAGGCGACUUUUCUGG